GAAGGCUAGUUGAGAAGAGAGAGAAAAAGAGCAGUAGGAAUGGAAACAUGGAGGAAAGUAUGACUUGUUUUGUUUUCACCUCUAGUAUUGGAGGUGAGAACUCAAUUUGGUGUUUCCCGAUGCCUCUCAUUCCUUUUGUCCUCAAGCACUCCUUCCUCUUCCUUUUUUGG
This 170-nucleotide microRNA precursor is filed under the name Triticum aestivum (bread wheat). Its description in RNAcentral is "MIR2118 microRNA precursor family". It matches the Rfam family "MIR2118 microRNA precursor family". The record is from Rfam by way of RNAcentral. Lineage: Eukaryota; Viridiplantae; Streptophyta; Magnoliopsida; Poales; Poaceae.